Molecule: long non-coding RNA, 2100 nt
Organism: Phacochoerus africanus (Common warthog)
Lineage: Eukaryota; Metazoa; Chordata; Mammalia; Artiodactyla; Suidae
Exons: 2
Source: RefSeq, a predicted model, not a curated record
UAAACACCGGCGCCAGCCCGCGGCGGCAGAGUCUGGGCGGUAAGGGCUGUGGAGGUGGCUGGGCUCUCCCGGGCAGAUCGGAGACCUAGGCAGGGACGCCCCGCGAUCCGGGGUGCGGCAGGGACCGGACGGGCGCCUCUCCGCCAUCCUGGGCUUACUGUCUGUGGGGGAGCCAGACAUUGAACACGGCCACGAGAAAUGAGGCAACAGAGUUCCACUGAGCGCUAGGAGCGGAAAAGGGAGAUUAAAAAGAAGGGAUGGGCCAAAGCGUGGGGACGGAGAGAUGAGCAGUCCUAGAGGACCUCUCUAUGGCGACCACUUGAGAGACCUGGAUGGUAAGAAGGAGAUGGCCUGGGAAGAUCCGCAAGAAGCGUGUUCCAGAAGCAACCUCCUGCCUCAGGAGGUUGACUGGACUAAGAGGAAAGCACGGAGGAUAACCUCGCUUCCCUUUCCCACUAAAGAGAGAAAGCCAGUCUCUCCUGAAACGUGUGUGUGUGUAGAAGAGAAGUGAUGUCGGCAUAGAAAUGGGUGACGAUGGGAUCUACGCAUUGAGGUGCCUUUUUUUUUUUCCAAUGGUCAAUUUAAUCAUGAAACCGACGAUGUUUCCACAGCUAAGUUCCCAUCAAUAAGGUGGAAGGAAACAUAAAGGUUUUCCAGAAUUAGAGGACCAAGAUCUAUACCACCCACCGAGGAGUCAGGCGUCCUAAAGAGAUGACACAUCAUCCUUUCCUUCCAACAAAAGACUUUCCAAGUAGCUCUCUGCCAUCGAAACGGUGCGUUAAUCAUCUGGUAGAAAUUGAUUUCUCCAAUGCCAGGGCACUCUCGGCAGCUAGCAGGCUGCUGCAGUAGCCGUUUGUUUUCGUGGUGACAAGGAUGGUGGCGCCUUCCUCCAUGGCUGGAAGUGGAAAGAAAUGGUCGGAAUUGACCUUUGGUUCGCUCUGGACACAGUCUUCACACGUACAUUCCUCUACCGUGUAUUCCGGGCCUCUCGAAAGCAGCGUUUCCACACCCAUCCGGCCCUCGCUGCCAUCGCCCAGGUCAGCGCCAGCACCCUUCUGGGGAGCCGAUCCUGAGGACGCAGAAACAGCACCGUUAACCCGAACUCUUCAGGGCGCCUGGUCGUGCCAGACUUCGCAGCGCACAUGGGGGAUCCGAGCAGCACCAGGCAGAUCUCUCAUGACUCAGUGAAUGAGAGGGCCCCAGAGUCGUGCGUGAACGGACAGCCCAUGGGCCACACUGGCUUCAAAGACAUGCGUGGUUUAGGGCAAUGCAGGGUUUUUUAAGUGUUUGCUCAUCUGUUUUAUGGUGACCCUCACUUAAAAAAUCAAGAGAUUAUACAUACAAAUCUACAAAUCUAAACAACUAGCCCCCCCACACACUUUUUUUUUGGUCUUUUUACAGCCGCACCCAUAGCAUAUGGAAACUCCCAGGCUGGGGAGUCAAAUCAGAGCUGCAUCUGGCAGCCUACACCACAGCCACAGAGACUCUAGAUCUGAGCCGUGUCUGGACCUAUGCUGCAGCUCGCGGCAGCGCUGGAUCCUUAACCCAUUGAGGGAGACCAGAAAUCAAACCCACAUCCUCAUGGAUGCUAGUCGGAUUCUUAACCCUUUGAGCCACAAUGGGAACUCCACGGCCACUUGGAGUGGACAUUCCUACAUGGGAACAAAUGGGAGUCAACGGCACCUGUCUACUCCAAGCAGAGCCCAGGCUCCCCUGCUGCAGAAGCCUCCAGAAGCCCCACUAUGUUAGUUUUUCACCCCCUUGGCCCUUGGACAUAUGAAGGUACUGACCCCUUUAACACAUACGAAAUGACAAAUUACCAUAUGCAGGCACACCAAAGCCAGUCUCAGGUGAUGCACUAGUGUGCAAAAUAGGGAAUUCCCGUUGUGGCUCAGUGGUAACAAACCAUGAGGACGUGGGUUUGAUCCCUGGCCUCGCUCAGUGGCUUAAGCAUCCAGCGCUGCCUCGAGCUGUAGGCUGCAGCUAUAGCUCCAAUUCUGUCCCUAACCUGGGGACAGAAUAUGCCUCAGGUGUGGCCCUAAAAAGACCAAAAAAAACCCCAAAAAGAAUUCAAAAUAAAGAUGCCUUUCUUACAGAGCA